CUGCGGAAUAGCUCCGGGAAACUGGAAUUAAUACCGCAUACGCCCUACGGGGGAAAGAUUUAUCGGGGAAGGAUUGGCCCGCGUUGGAUUAGCUAGUUGGUGGGGUAAAGGCCUACCAAGGCGACGAUCCAUAGCUGGUCUGAGAGGAUGAUCAGCCACAUUGGGACUGAGACACGGCCCAAACUCCUACGGGAGGCAGCAGUGGGGAAUAUUGGACAAUGGGCGCAAGCCUGAUCCAGCCAUGCCGCGUGAGUGAUGAAGGCCUUAGGGUUGUAAAGCUCUUUCACCGAUGAAGAUAAUGACGGUAGUCGGAGAAGAAGCCCCGGCUAACUUCGUGCCAGCAGCCGCGGUAAUACGAAGGGGGCUAGCGUUGUUCGGAAUUACUGGGCGUAAAGCGCACGUAGGCGGAUAUUUAAGUCAGGGGUGAAAUCCCGCAGCUCAACUGCGGAACUGCCUUUGAUACUGGGUAUCUUGAGUAUGGAAGAGGUAAGUGGAAUUCCGAGUGUAGAGGUGAAAUUCGUAGAUAUUCGGAGGAACACCAGUGGCGAAGGCGGCUUACUGGUCCA
Molecule: ribosomal RNA, 566 nt
Filed under: Rhizobium sp.
Lineage: Bacteria; Pseudomonadati; Pseudomonadota; Alphaproteobacteria; Hyphomicrobiales; Rhizobiaceae
Description: bacterial SSU rRNA
Rfam family: Bacterial small subunit ribosomal RNA
Source: RNAcentral